UACGGGGGGAGCAAGCGUUGUUCGGAUUUACUGGGCGUAAAGGGCGCGUAGGCGGCGCAACAAGUCAGCUGUGAAAUCUCCGGGCUUAACCCGGAGCGGCCAGCUGAUACUGUCGUGCUAGAGUGCGGAAGGGGCUACUGGAAUUCUCGGUGUAGCGGUGAAAUGCGUAGAUAUCGAGAGGAACACCUGUGGCGAAGGCGGGUAGCUGGGCCGACACUGACGCUGAGGCGCGAAAGCUAGGGGAGCGAACGGGAUUAGAAACCCCUGUAGU
Molecule: ribosomal RNA, 271 nt
Filed under: uncultured bacterium
Lineage: Bacteria
Description: partial 16S ribosomal RNA
Rfam family: Bacterial small subunit ribosomal RNA
Source: RNAcentral